UCUGGCAAAUAGGAGGAGAUGUGUCUCUGUGCCCGUGUGUGUUUGCACUCCUGUCACGGGCGAGAGCACAUGUAUGGGCAUGGCAGAGCUGAAGGAGAAGAAACAAGCUCCUUAAAAAUGCUUUCACCCCUCUGGGAACUUGUGACUGGUAUGUCUGCCGUGUCUCGUAACGCAGAUUUUAGCUGAAGAAAACCUUAAUAGACCAUAUAUAAAGGCAAGCUGGGAUUGAGGUAACGCAGCUGACUUGUAUGGCUUGCUUGCAUUUAAACGGGCAUCAUUUGACUUCAUCUGCUGCAAACAGCAAAUGUCUGUUUGAGAAGUAGCAGGAGUUGAAACCCUGAUCUCUGUUUAAGGUGAUCAUUGUUUUUUUAAUGCACACAACGUUGUACUGAGAGCAGAUGGGGAAAACAAAGGUUGACAAGACUUAGGGUAACUUCUGGCGCUUCUCUCGUAGCAGCUGGGACUCUAAAAAAGCAGGAAAGCUGCUACGAAGGGUAUGGAAGAGAGCAGACAGGAAAGAUGAAAGGGAAUGGACAUAAGCAUGAAAAUUCUUGCCACCUCUCCCCCCUUCCUCCAGUUGCACUAAAUGUACGUGAUUCCCAUAGCACAAGGGCCACACACUUCAAAACCAACUGUAAAUAUUUAGCUUGUUGUUUGUCCCAAGUUGCAGCGUUUUGCUUGACAGGCUUUCCUCCUCUUAUUUUAGAGACAACAAAAACAGUUGGUACUUAUUUUCAACUUUGUAAUUUAAAGAGGGAAGAAGUCCAGUCUACAGCAUUUUAAAUAUUGUGCAUAAUAUCCCUUUUAAGCAUUUUUUUUGCCCGCUGCCAACAGAAGAGUCUAAUGCUGAUGAGGAGAGCCAACCAUGGAGACUAGUUUAAAAUGGACCAGCCAAAGUCUGCAGCUGAAGGGACGGCCUCCUGCUAUUUCUGUCAGCAGACACAUCAUUGUUGCACUCUGUCAGGGAAGCUCCUAUAGUCUGAGCCACAUCAAAGCUGUAAAUCAGCUGGUAAAAGGUUCAGAGCUACAUCAGUGCUGCAAGCCUUGUCAACCCAGUCAUAUGCAAAACAAUUGCCCUCUGAAUGUGUGUUAGGAAGAGUGAAUUGGAGUGCUAUCUUUGAAGGGCUAAACGCCUCUUCUCAAUAAUAGCAUAUUUUACAUCUUAAAAAGACAACAAAACCUUCAUUUGAGAUGUUCAGUGUUUGUUUAGAGGGAGGCUUUGCCGCUUUGUUUUUUAGUCCCCUGUUUCUCCACUGCAAAGGAAUUACAGAGGUGCAAGAACUACAUAUACAGACUUGUGUGUUAAAUUGUCACCAGAAAGAAACUUGCUGUCAUGGAGUGCCGAAAUGCUCAGGUUUCCUCCAGUUAUUAUAUAAGUGGCACUAAAAAUACUGUUGCAGUCAGCACUUGGAAAACUAAAAGGAAAACUAAUACUAAUUUUUGGCUUUGAUGUGUGUGUUCCGUCGUUGUCCACCUCCUGUAGGUAGUGUAGGGGCUCUGGGCACAGAUCAGGCCUGUACUGUCAAGGGGAUAGCUUGUGGAGCUGAUACUUUAUUUGUAAAACAGGUUAGAGAUGCAAUGACAGAUGAGGCUGGGACUGCAGAUGAUAGAGUGGUUUUGUAGUUAAUCACAUAGGAACGAAUUCUGCUAUGUACUUACUUUCUGUUAAGACACUUACCUGAUUCACUCGAACCACUUUUUUAAAUUAUUUGUUUUUGCAGAUGGACACUUGUUUGUUUCCUGCUUUCCAGAUCUUUCUUCUUAAUUGGAUGCACUCUAGCAAGUUAAAAUAUCAAUUCUUAUGACAGUGGGAGUAGGAAAACUUUGCUGUCUGAAGGAAGGAGCUGAGAAACGAGAGAUGAGAACCUACUUCUACUGCUGACUCACUGUGGCCUAAGGCAAGGCUGUCUCUCAUCUUAACCAUCUGCAGGAUGAUGAUGAUGGUGCUUGUCUCGUGGUGGUAAUUGCAAGCAUGUCAGAGUUAAUGUGGUGUUGGAGAAAGUAACUGUUCGGUGCAUCUGCGGAGUAAGUAAGGCAGAGGCUGCUAUCUGGAAGGAGAUAAAAUAAUUUUGUCACAUUUCCAGAGUAAGACCUCCCUUUUCUGAAGUUAGUGCUGUACACAGGUAAGCUCCCUCCUGUAGUGGUGUGAAUGCUCUUUUAGAGGCAGAGUGGAACAAUUUUUCCGUGCAUCCUUUCUUUUCCAGUCUCUCCCUCAUGUGCUUGCAUUAAGUUUUAGCUGAUAUUUCUAAGGGUUUUGAAGGCCUGGCAAUGCAGCCUCCAUGUGUUAACUACUACUCAGCAUGGCGUGUGAUUUUAAUUUGAGUGUUCAUGGCAUUAUUUACAAGUCUAGUGGCUUCUGUUGAUACUUAGCAAAGUUUGUGGUGGUCUCUCAUUGAGCAGCACUUAACAAAGCUGAAGAACAGGAGAUGACAGCUAUGAUCCCUGUGAGAGGAAGGAACUGUAUGCCGCAUGCAGCGCGUAGUGAGAGCCGUGCUGUUUCUGCGUAUACCAAGUCUGCCAGACAUCUAGGUAGUAGGAAACUUUUCUUCCUUGAUAUCGAGAGAGUUGCUCUAAGAACAACUUCUGACUGCUGCUUUGAUGAUCUUCAUCAUACUGCUCUGACCAGAAGUUGAAUGUUUUCAGAGCUGUCCUCAGGAAACAUGACUGAUGGCAGAUGGUAGGCCACACCAGGUUUGUGGUGCGUUUCUAAUCUCAAACCAACUUCCACAUCCUAAAAAUGACAACUGACUUGUUCCAAGAUCUCAUCAUCAUCAACUUCAGGAAGUUGUAGUUGCUGGGAAGAGGCCUUGUUUUCUGAGAAAGGUGGGCAGCUCUCUAACGUAACGUAGUGGAUGAAAAGUGUGAAAUGGUGUGUUUGCUUCCCCGCUGCUAUGGGUUUCUCAGAAUACGUUCAGAGUGUGACCGAAGUCAGGGGAUGUAAAAAUAGUAAGUACCAACUAGAUUUGUUGUUGUCUGACAAUGUGAUGGUUCUGACAUCCACGAUGAUCCAAGUUUGUCAUGUUCUUCACAGGAGGCCUUCUGGGGAAGGGGUGGCUGCAGGGGAGAAGUAAGCUGCUUGGGACAGGCUUGCACUGUGUGUGUACAAGGGCCUUGUGUGUUUUUUUUCUGUUUGUGGUGUAAGUUUUCUGCCCAUAUUUAGAUAUCACCUAGCCUAGUGGGUUCCAGUGCUAUGACUAGGAUUCCAAGGUGUUACAAAGAGAAAUAAACGCACAGAAACACUCGAAGCAGAUGGCUUAGAUGAGAACUGUUGGGAACAGAGGAGGCAUCAGCAAUGUGAAAAUGAAGCUUGUGAGACCCUGCUUUUCCACAGUGUCCUUCACUCAGAAAAUAAAGGGAAAAAAUGCUUUGCUGAUAACUGGAAGGCGCCCGGUUCUUUCUUGCAUCAAGCCAAUGUGAUAUGAAAGCAGAGGGGCUACUGCUAUCUUCUGCUUGCUGGAACAAGAAACAGAAAUGGUGCUGGAUGCUGCUUAGAUAAGAAGGUUGAUAAGGAGAUUAAGUCUUCUAAAUGCUAACAACAUACCUGUGUGCGUUAUCUUGUCCAAAAAGAUUUACAUUCCCAAAAAUGAAAGGGGAAAUGCUAGAAGUUGUGGUAUCAGCUUUUUAUUUAAGUGGAGUAUUAAGUUCAAAUCUGAUGGGGGGGGGGAGGGUGAAUUGAAAUGCAAAAUCAUAAUCAGCCAUACAGGUAGGGCAGAUACCACAGCUUGUUUCCAAAUUUCAGAGUGACCUCCUGGAUUGCUUCCUUUCAGUUAUUUUAAGGGAUAUCUGGGUACUGUUGCCAUCACAGUUUGCAAUGGUGUAGGUUCCUGAAAGUAAGCAUUCAGAGGUAUGGUAAUCCAGAUGUGCUUUGCGAAUAAAGUUGUUAGAGCCAAAUUGAUGUGUUUGGGAUGUUAGGCAUUGUGUACCUGGGAAAAUGCAUGUCUCCAUACAGUAAAUCUAUUUAGCGUGUGUUAAAAAUCAUUGUAACAACCUAAACUGUUGCUUUGCUUGGUAAUGACUUUUAGGUUGAGAUGUUUUCUUGGCAGCCCAGCCUUUGAGGAUCUGCAGAGUGCCUGGACUUCAAUACUGCAUUUGCAUUGACGUGACUUCACAUCUUUUCAGCUCCCUGCUGAUAAGCAAGGUUCUUUGUCUUGACACUGCAACAACAAGUGAUCAACUAUAAGCUACAAAGAAUUUACAAUGAUCUAGUCCAGCUUCUUGUGUAAGCUGUAGUACGCAUUUAAAUGAUGUUUUUCUUUUAAAGACUUUUUUCUUUUAGAAAAGUUCCUAAUAUCCACUCAAAAUGACAGUGCUUGUAUAUGUGGAGAAAUGCACCUCUAUCCUCUGUGAGAUUAAUAAAGUUACUUUCAGUAAUUUUGUUAUUAAAAAGCAAGUAUUUUGUUUUGUAGUCUAAAUAUGCAUAGUUUCAACUUCUGUUAUUUUAUAUUGGUACAUAUUUGCUGAAGUUGAAGCGAGUUCUUGAAUUUUUCAUCCACGAUGGAGAAAACUUGAAGACUAAAUAGCCCCUUUUACCUUUUAAUGGACCUAAAUAAGGCAAACAUACCGAAUUUAAGUUAAAGGUACAUCUUCAGUCUUCUUGCUUCUGCACCUUUUCAUGAAUCAGAUCUCGUUUCAGUCUAUGAGCUGUGGAUUCCAGAACUGGCUGUGGUAUUUCAGUAGCAGUUGCACCAGUAAUACAACACUUUUAAUCCUAUUUGUAUUGUCUAUUUAUAUUCUCAAGGAUAAAGUCAGCCCCUUUGACCUAGCAGCACAGAGCUGUUCUGAUUCAGGUGGGAAAACAAGCCAGACUCGGGUGGCCAAAAUUGUUAUACAGGGAUGUGAGAGCCCUGCAUGUCUGACCUGUUGUCAUGACCUCUGUGUGUCCCUGAGGUUUGCUACUGCAAGUAUGUUCUGCGCUAGUUUUUCCACAGCUGGAUGGAAGUCCAGGUCUUUUUGAAUUGAAAAGCUUCAAAGCAACUCGUUUAUGGGCUGAUGGCUGGCCAUCCUUCAUUAGGCAAAAAGAUCUGAACUUCUUCUAGAUCUUUUAAUGGUUUUCUGGAAGCCAGGGUCUGUUACUUUUUUGCAGAAUUAUAUAUUUUUUUAGCUGUACUGGUAAACUUACCCCUAAAAAAUCACCUCUUUUGUUUGUUUCCUCCCCCUUCAUCCAUUACCUCAACCCUCCGUAGGCACCACAUCUCUCCCUUUAGCUGGACUCCCCUCAGAAUUAUCUUUUUUUUGACUAUUCCUGUAAAUUUAUCCCUCUAGAAAUGCUGAUAUUUUGAAUCCAUUUUGAUUAAAAAACUGUUGAUUUGG
Molecule: non-coding RNA, 5310 nt
Organism: Anas platyrhynchos (mallard)
Lineage: Eukaryota; Metazoa; Chordata; Aves; Anseriformes; Anatidae
Source: RefSeq, a predicted model, not a curated record